UUAUUUCGCCGUAAAGUCGUGUUUUAUA
This 28-nucleotide small RNA is filed under the name Bombyx mori (domestic silkworm). RNAcentral describes it as "ovarian small RNA-36909". Lineage: Eukaryota; Metazoa; Arthropoda; Insecta; Lepidoptera; Bombycidae. The record is from RNAcentral.